UCGGGAAUUUUGGGCAAUGGGCGAAAGCCUGACCCAGCAACGCCGCGUGAAGGAUGAAGUAUUUCGGUAUGUAAACUUCGAAAGAAUAGGAAGAAUAAAUGACGGUACUAUUUAUAAGGUCCGGCUAACUCCGUGCCAGCAGCUGCGGUAAUACGGAGGGUGCAAGCAUUGAUCGGAAUUACUGGGCGUAAAGGGCGCGUAGGCGGCUCGAUAAGUCGGAUGUGGAAUUCCGGGGCUCAACCCCGGAGCGGCAUUUGAAACUGUCGAACUAGAGUACAGUUAGGGUAAACGGAAUUCCACGUGUAGCGGUGAAAUGCGUAGAUAUGUGGAAGAACACCGGUGGUGAAGACGGUUUACUGGGCUGUAACUGACGCUGAGGCGCGAAAGCAUGGGGAGCAAACAGGAUUAGAUACCCAGGUAGUCCCUGAGCGGGCUGGCAAGGCGCAU
RNAcentral lists this ribosomal RNA (447 nucleotides) under uncultured bacterium. RNAcentral describes it as "bacterial SSU rRNA". It matches the Rfam family "Bacterial small subunit ribosomal RNA", at positions 355 to 825 of the family's 1533-position model. The record is from RNAcentral.